GACGAACGCUGGCGGCGUGCUUAACACAUGCAAGUCGAACGGAAAGGCCCUGCUUUUGUGGGGUGCUCGAGUGGCGAACGGGUGAGUAACACGUGAGUAACCUGCCCUUGACUUUGGGAUAACUUCAGGAAACUGGGGCUAAUACCGGAUAGGAGCUCCUGCUGCAUGGUGGGGGUUGGAAAGUUUCGGCGGUUGGGGAUGGACUCGCGGCUUAUCAGCUUGUUGGUGGGGUAGUGGCUUACCAAGGCUUUGACGGGUAGCCGGCCUGAGAGGGUGACCGGCCACAUUGGGACUGAGAUACGGCCCAGAAUCCUACGGGAGGCAGCAGUGGGGAAUAUUGCACAAUGGGCGGAAGCCUGAUGCAGCAACGCCGCGUGCGGGAUGACGGCCUUCGGGUUGUAAACCGCUUUCGCAGGUGACGAAGCGUGAGUGACGGUAAUGGGUAAAGAAGCACCGGCUAACUACGUG
This 468-nucleotide ribosomal RNA is filed under the name uncultured bacterium. RNAcentral describes it as "partial 16S ribosomal RNA". It matches the Rfam family "Bacterial small subunit ribosomal RNA", at positions 28 to 507 of the family's 1533-position model. The record is from RNAcentral.